AUUCUAUGGAAAAACGAUGCACAUGUAUGUCUUAUGGCUUAUUUGGAGGAACGUUAGCUGUAUUUGUUGCAAUAUCUACAGGGAUACAUAUUGCAACGUGCUUUUAUUUCCGGUAGUAUAUAUAUAUAUAUAUAUUUUCUAUAAACUUAAGUUGUAAUGUCGUCAUAUCGAUGUACUCGUUUAGUACGGUGUUUUUUUCAUAAUAAGGUGAAGUUGCACAUGAUUGUGUCAAGUGUUUUUAAUGACAAACAAAUAAACAAUAGAAAUAUUUGAAUAUUUUGCUAAAGCAACAUCUGAACCUAAAAUUAAGCUGAAAAAUAUCUUUUGUUUAUGGCUGAUAUGUUAUGACAUUAAAAUUUACAGCAUAUAGUUAAGAAUUUGACACAGAAUAAUACUUGCGUAUGUGGAAAUUUUAGUCUUUAUUUGUUUCUUAUAAAUGAAGCUAACUGACUUAUUACUGUCAGUUCCACCGCAUAUUUUGAUACGAUAUAUACCUUUGUUCUCAAUUAUUCCGAAAUUUGCACAUAAUUUUAGAUUACUAAAAUGUUGGUGUCAUGGUUUUGUCCAGCAGUGUCAUGGUUUAGUUCGUGAACGACAUGGUUCUGUUUUUGAUCGUUUUCGUGUACAAUGGAAGAGUAAUGAUCAACAUAAACAGACAUCUAUUGAAAUACUGUUAAAAAUAUUUUCGUCGAUACUUUUUUUUCGUGUUUUAUCCAUUCUAUAGAUUGCAAUUUUGUAAAUAUAGACAAUGCAAUGUCCCAUAGGAACUCCCUUUGCGGUUAAAACUGUGACACUCUCACUAUAAACUUUCGUCAAAAAUGAUAUCCAAGAACGGAAAGUUUAUUUGAAUUUUAUUCAAAGGUCAAAAUAUAGGGCUGUGCGGCAUUUUUCUAUACAACCAUUACCUCCAUUUGUGGACUUCCUAAGCAUUCAAAUUUAGGUGCUACCAUGUUUUACUAUCCUGGCUACAUUCCCAAAUAUAACAUCAAAACUGAAUACUAGAAUUUGGGAUAGAAAAAUACCGUGACACGUCUUAUAGCAAUGCGAAUUCACUCUCAGCAACAGUCACGUUCGAUACUUAAAAAAUCAGACAACUUAAUGGCAAACCACAAUCUAAGACGUGGAAAAAUGUACUUAGUUAGUUCGUACAAAGACACAACGUAUGGAUCAACAACUUAUUGAUGGUGUCCAUAAAAUUUACGGAGUGUCGUUUUUAAUCUGUCUUCCUCAUACCUUUGUUGGAGCAGUUUCUGAGUAAGGAACACACUCCGUUUAGUGUAAAACAUGCACGAGUAUAACGUAUCAACUGAGAUAUGUAAACACCAUACGAAGGGGUAGAGUAUAAACUUAACUCUGGCAUUGAUGUAACAGUGCAGCAAAGAAGAACCAAGUAAUAAUCUCAGUUGAAAAGGACUUGAUUAUACAAUUUAGAAAAAUGACAGUUUUCGUUUCUUAGUCAAGUGACAAAUUAUGUAUCUUCGGUUUUUCACAUGCACCAUCAAACUAACUAUCAAUAUUAAGGUGAAACAAACAUGUUUGAAUUUGGAUCUAAACGAUGACAAAUUUAUAGACACUUAGCUGAACGAUGUCAAUCGCUUAACCAAAGCAUUACCAUUUCGAUAUUUUGGUUAUCUUGCGUUGAUUUCUUAAAAACGUCAAUUUCAAUUUAGAUCGUUCGACUUACAAUAUUGAUUCACACAUAUUAUUGCCUUUUCGUUUGCUCAGUUGAAAAGAUCUGAGGCAGUCAUUCUAGGAAGUAACAUAAAAAAAGUCAUGACCAACUUGAACUUAACCCAGCUAUGAUUAAAUGCACUGUACUAAACGCUCUUCUAUAUAACGAUUUCACUACCCGUAGUACAGUAGACAUGGAAUAUUGAUUAAGAAAUUAUAAAAGCAAUCCGUACAAUUUCCAAUGACAAUUGCGACUUUUUGUUUUAAAAGUCAUUAAAAAAAUAUAUCUUAUAAUAAACUCCCGAAACAUAUAAAACAACAGUGCUGCAAAUAUUGAGGUAAAAUAAUGUAAGAAAAUCAAACCAGAAAGAUGAGCCGUACAAUCAAUUCUGGUGCAAAAAAGCAAGACGUCCCUCACUGGACAUUUUAUCGUGCAUUUUGAAAAAAAUAUAUAUACAUUAAUACAUUUAAAAAAAUAUACUUAUGUAACAACAUGUUCAGAAGAAUUUACAUCUUCACCAUCAUUUAUUCUCUAUACAUGUAUAUAUUUUAUAUUUUCACAGAAAACGAGUGAAAAAAACUGCUACGGUUUAUGAAGAUAUGCAGUUCAAAACGGGUAAGGCAUAUAAUUAUCUCUAUUUUUAUAAAUAAAUACACAAAGGUAGAAAAGAUUUGAUUAGAUAGAUUAAUAAAUAAAUGAAUAACUGAAAAAAUAUAUAAACAAUAAACUGAUAUAAACAUUAUUUAGAAAUUAAUAUUCCCGAAAGUCAUUAAAUAAUAUUAACAGAUAGAUAGAGUACAUACACUAUUAUUAUGAUAUAAUGUUUUUUUUUUAUGUAACAUGUCUUCUGAUUGGCUGAAAUUUUUGUGUGUAUCAGCCAAUGGAAACAUGAUCGUGACGUCAUCAACGUUUUUAAUGAAUUUUUCCUUUAAAUGCAAUUUAGAAAUAAUUUAUAAAGAAUGAUUUUCAUAACCUAAAACUACUCUGGUAUUAACUUUCAAAUAAAACGCUAAGCGAUGUUUCAGUGUGUACCACAUUUUUGAAGUUUUCCUUAUUAGACAGAAUCGCCGCGAUAUAGCCUUUUUGUGCUAAUGCGGUGUAAAGCAACCAACAACCAAUCAAUCAAUAUUAGACAGAAAAAAUAUUACAAUCAUUCCUUUUAUAUAAACAAUAUACAAAUUUAUAAAUAUAUAUUUGCGUAAUGACCGGUAUCAUUGCCAGUGUACAAUUAUCAAAGACAGUUAAUUUUUUGUUACUAUGGCCUUCGACAAUGAGCAAAACCUAUACAAUAAAUUUAGUUUUCAAAGAUGACAACAUAACAAAAUGCGAAACAAUUCAAAAUACGAAAUUCAUAAGUAUUGCAGUUCAGUCGAGCAAAUGUAAAUAGUUAUAUCAACUCUGUCAAAACUUCCACAGAAUUGUCAGAAACUUAGACACAAUCAAAUAUAACUGUAAUAAAUAAACGGUGACAAUAAUAUGUAAAUUCUAAAAAAAAAAUGCAAGUAGUAAUAUCAUUUCUUCUCUUAGUCCUUCUAUUUUCUUUGCUCAAUUGAAAGACUGAAUGUUUCGUCUGGUUAAACUAAGUUUUGUUCACAUACAGUUAUAAGAAACGUAGAAACGAAAAAAAGGUUUAUGUAAAAAAAAUCAUGCUUUUUGAGGAACUACAUGUGAAAAUAAAACAUAAUUGAUGAAAUUCUUCACAUGUCUUGCUUCAUUUAAAAGAAUAUUCUGUUUUUUUGUAUUAGGAAGUUUGAGAAUCUCUGAUUAUUUCUUAAAACCAGUAAAAUCGCUUUUGAUGUUAAGACAACUAUUUGUUAUCUGGAAAAUUUAUUGAUUAUGUAUAUUGUACUUUAUAUAUUUACUUACUCUUGUUGUACUAUUAUAUAACUUUGGAUUUGAAUAUGUGUAAAGCAUAGUUUUAGUGUUCUUUUAAAUAUAAUAGGAAUUACUAUAACUGGUAUGACUAUAACUUUUGACAAAUCUAUAAACUAUAACACAGUUUUAGAAGUUCUAUGAAAUUAAAUUAGAACAAGCAAAGUUGAUAAGAGUUUUGAAUUUUUUUAUUUACAAAAUAGGAUAUAUAACAACAACAUCAAUGAUUGUUUCUGAAUCUUAUAUCAUAUAGGUUUCAUGCUAUGACGGUCCAUCGGUAUUUAUAAUAGUCAAUUUAAACUUUUAUUUUGCAGUUGAAAGACAAAAGGGAAGCAAUGAGGAAACAUACACUGAAUUGACAUCAUUAUGAUAUUAAAGGCGAAGGUUCACAGAUUUAAUUUUUAGAGCUUAU
Molecule: long non-coding RNA, 3956 nt
Filed under: Mytilus galloprovincialis (Mediterranean mussel)
Lineage: Eukaryota; Metazoa; Mollusca; Bivalvia; Mytilida; Mytilidae
Source: RNAcentral